Molecule: ribosomal RNA, 412 nt
Filed under: uncultured Thauera sp.
Lineage: Bacteria; Pseudomonadati; Pseudomonadota; Betaproteobacteria; Rhodocyclales; Zoogloeaceae
Description: bacterial SSU rRNA
Rfam family: Bacterial small subunit ribosomal RNA
Source: RNAcentral
UGGCGGACGGGUGAGUAACGCGUUGGUGAUCUGCCUUGAAGUGUGGAAUAACGUUUCGAAAGGAACGCUAAUACCGCAUGUGCUCUCGAUUUUCAGAAAGUUGAGAGUAAAGGAUUUAUUCGCUUCAAGAGGAGCCUGCGUCCCAUCAGCUGGUUGGUAGGGUAACGGCCUACCAAGGCUAUGACGGGUAGGGGACCUGAGAGGGUGGCCCCCCACAAUGGAACUGAAACACGGUCCAUACACCUACGGGUGGCAGCAGUAGGGAAUAUUAGAAAUGGACGAAAGUCUGAUCUAGCAACACCGCGUGUGCGAAGAAGGCCUUCGGGUCGUAAAGCACUUUUUGGAAGGAAUAGGAAGGAAUGUACUUCCAGAAUAAGUCUCGGCUAACUACGUGCCAGCAGCCGCGGUAAUA